RNAcentral lists this ribosomal RNA (273 nucleotides) under uncultured bacterium. RNAcentral's name for it is "partial 16S ribosomal RNA". It matches the Rfam family "Bacterial small subunit ribosomal RNA", at positions 524 to 796 of the family's 1533-position model. The record is from RNAcentral.
UACGUAGGGAGCGAGCGUUGUCCGGAAUUACUGGGUGUAAAGGGAGCGUAGGCGGGGCGGCAAGUCAGGUGUGAAAUUUAUGGGCUUAACCCAUAACCUGCAUUUGAAACUGUCGCUCUUGAGUGAAGAAGAGGUUGGCGGAAUUCCUAGUGUAGCGGUGAAAUGCGUAGAUAUUAGGAGGAACACCAGUGGCGAAGGCGGCCAACUGGGCUUUUACUGACGCUGAGGCUCGAAAGCGUGGGGAGCAAACAGGAUUAGAUACCCCGGUAGUCC